Long non-coding RNA from Phacochoerus africanus (Common warthog), 2322 nucleotides. RefSeq lists it as uncharacterized. Lineage: Eukaryota; Metazoa; Chordata; Mammalia; Artiodactyla; Suidae. The transcript has 3 exons. The record is from RefSeq and is a predicted model, not a curated record.
GCUUCCCCGCCCACUUUGAGGCCGAAGGGGCCGGGACGAGGACGGCGGAGCGAGGACGGCGGAGCGAGGCGCGCCGCUCCUUUGCCACCAGACUGCGUGCCCAGCUUCUCCGGGGUUCGUGUCGGCUGCCCGCCCGGCCAAGGAGCUCAGCGCCCGCGCCGCCCCCGCAUACCCGCGGAGCGGAGCGGAGCUCAAGCAACCAGGCACACCUGCCACUGGGGCGGCGGGGAAAGCGCUCCGGCCGACGACCACCCUCCACCUGGAUUUUCUCCUCUAGUAACCCCCCUCCCCAGCGCCUGCCGUCCCCACAUACUCAGCAAACGGAUCUCAGAGGGGAAAACGCCUGCUACCUGGACGCCACGGACACCAGCCCUAAGGCCCGCAGCUCCUUGGCAGAGGGCCCUCGUCCCCAUCACUGCCUCCGCAGAUCCCUCUGCCCCAUUUCCGAGAAGCAGGAACCGCUGGGCAAAAAGCAGACGCGUGCCCUGGGGCACUAAAACUGCAGCCCUGCCCCUGCAGGGGCCUCCAGGUGCUUCCACGUGGAGAAGCAGGCGUGCCUUUAACGAUCUCACUCACUCGGCCGCCAAGUUCCGAGAGAGACUGUGCGUCUUCUUCCAAGCACUACAGCCCCGGCUUGUUUCUGCUGGUGUGAGUCCGUCUGCCCCCCCAAGCCCCGCAUCGAGCCUUGCAGGGGCGCUGUCUACACUUGCUUCUUGCUCGUCUUCAGGUUUGCCCCAUAGGUGUCAUGAGUUUAGACACCAGACAGACGGAACGGAAACUCGCUUGAACAAGCGCUGUGACCUCUGGCUGGUUGUUUGUAAAGCAGGGCUCCCAUGCUCGGGCAAGGGGCUCACAGGCGGCCUCCUGCAAAGGGCCCCAAGUAGGAGCUGGAAUGGGGAGACCCGCCGGGCCAGGUUAGCUGAGAAUCCUCACAUGAGGCAGAGCCAGCAGCGGAUCUUUCCACAAGCAGGAGCUAGCUCGGACGAUGGGCCCUUGAGCUGAGGCGCACCUGCCACGUACGGGCGGAGUCAGGCCCUUGCCCUUCUCUGACCUCUUCAGCUAAAGCCAGAGGAAGAGGUUAAAGAAGACCGGCGCCAGCUGCCUGAAGUUCUCUACCCAACAGCGCAGCGCACACACAACACGCCCCCAGAGUCGGGGGACUAACAGCCCGCGUGGCUCACAGAGCAGGACGCUAACCAGGCGUCCAUGCCCCCCGCCCCGGGGGGGGGGGGGUACUGCGGCAGCAGCAUGAGCAGAACCCAGAGCCUUCCUGCCGCCUCCCCAGGGGACGGUGCUGAGGAAAUUUACAGACAGAAGAGCACAACCAGGACACUCGGCGGGCAGGCAGAGAAGGGGCCGGGUGGUCCGUGCCCAGGGUGGGGCCUGAUACCCGGCCCCGGGCAAGGUCCCCGGGGAUCCUGGACCCCAACUCAGACCCAGGUCAGGGGCAGAAGAGCAAGGCCGAGGAGGAGAGAGGAAGCCAGGGGGCAAAGGCGCCCCCCCGAGGAGCAGCCUGGAGGAGCUCCCACAGGCGCCCUCUGAUCCCGUGGCCAUGGGCGGCCCAGGCCCGAGGCUGGGUGGACGGCGCCGGGCGCACUGAGGAGAGCUACACACUCCAGCAGGUCCCUGUGUGGCUCCUCACCCUAUUCUAGGGCCCCGGGGUGCCUGGCACCCAGAGGCCGUAGGCUUCCCCCUUUGGAAGGUAUUAGCUAAAUGCAAAGGUCAUUACAAGACACAGCACCUACCCUUCUGAGGCUAGAACGCGAGUUCCCAGAAACAGAUGAAUCUAGUAUUUUCUCAUGUCCCUACCAAAAGCAUCAACCACUGUAUUCUCUUUGAAAAGCCUACGAAUUUUCAUGACCUUUACACUGUAUUAAGCCAGCUAACUUUCACAGGUAAUUGUAUGUUUUUGGCUGCGGCUGCAGCAUGUGGACGUUCCCGGGGUCAGGGAUGGAUCUGGUGCCACAGCAGCGACCUGAGCUGCGGCAGGGCACAGCCCUGGCAUCUCAGCAAGGCCGAAAGCAAGCUGGAAACGCCUUCCCCCAAAGCAAAACGGGCCACAGCACUAACGAGGCUUUGGCUCCCCUCGAAAGAAAACAGGCUACCUACCCUUCCUCACCACACCUGUCUAGCAGCAGGACAGAGCCUAGCUCUGUGCACCACCAUCAGAAGCCACAGCUCCAGGGCCUGCAGGAACCCUGCUGGUGGGUGGUGAGGGAGCAGGGCCUCAGAAGCAGAGCCCCGUGGCGUUCGUCUCAGCAGUUAAGGCAAGGCAAAGCAGCACCAUGGAAAACAGGCCAGAAAACAAAAAGCAAAAAUGGG